UAAGUAGGCGGUGGAAAAUGAACCAAAUGGGAUUCCUUAAGUAAUUGCGAAUGAACAAGGAACUGCUCAGCUUGAAAAUUGGGGCCUUCGGCCUUGAAUUGUAAUUUUGAAAUGUAUUGCCAAUGGAGGCGCAGGUGCAAGCCUAUUGAAAGAAAGCGUCAAUGAGGGUGAGAUUCCUUUUUGUCAUUUGCAGUCCUCCGUGCACGGUAUAUAUUUGACGAGUCACACUCCUUGGCAUUGGAAUGCAAAGUGGGUGGUAAAUUCCAUGUAAAGGAAAAUAUAUUAUUGAGACUGAUAGCAAACAAGUACCAUGAGGGAAAUAUGAAAAGGACUUUGAAAAGAGAAUUAAAAGAGUCUGCAUUUGCUGAACAGAAAGCAAACAGAAUUGAUCUACUUGGUGAGAUUGUUGCGUCCACUUGUGGGUGCAAUGGUUCUUGCCUUGAAUGUCAGCGUCUAUUUCUGCAAAUUAUUACCCUUGCAUAUGAAUUGUAAUUUGCCUGUGGGCAUUGGAAUGCAUGUGUUUGCAAUGAUUUGUGAUUUGAUACAUGUGUCUGGUGUUCGCGUGUGUGCCUUCUUGCUAACACGGGGAGGGCUCUCCUCCCUGGGCACUGCAUGCCCUUGCACAUUGUUGCUGGCAAAAUGUUUCUGCUUGACCCG
RNAcentral lists this ribosomal RNA (657 nucleotides) under Alexandrium ostenfeldii. RNAcentral's name for it is "LSU rRNA". It matches the Rfam family "Eukaryotic large subunit ribosomal RNA", at positions 43 to 651 of the family's 3401-position model. The record is from RNAcentral. Lineage: Eukaryota; Dinophyceae; Gonyaulacales; Pyrocystaceae.